RNAcentral lists this ribosomal RNA (253 nucleotides) under uncultured bacterium. RNAcentral's name for it is "partial 16S ribosomal RNA". It matches the Rfam family "Bacterial small subunit ribosomal RNA", at positions 524 to 776 of the family's 1533-position model. The record is from RNAcentral.
GACGAACCGUCCAAACGUUAUUCGGAAUUACUGGGCUUAAAGGGUGCGUAGGCGGCGAGGAAAGUAGGGUGUGAAAUCCCUCGGCUUAACCGAGGAACAGCGCUCUAAACUACCUUGCUCGAGGGAGACAGAGGUGAGCGGAACUUAGGGUGGAGCGGUGAAAUGUGUUGAUAUCCUAAGGAACACCGGUGGCGAAGGCGGCUCACUGGGUCUCUUCUGACGCUGAGGCACGAAAGCUAGGGUAGCGAACGGG